GAUCGGCCCGCUAUUCUUCGGAAUGGUGGGUACGGAGCGGCGGACGGGUGAGUAACGCGUACCUGACCUACCCUCCAGAGGGGGAUAGCCACUGGAAACGGUGGGUAAUACCCCAUACGUUCCCACUGGGUGUAAGCGGUUUGAAAAGGCGGCUUACAUGAAGUGGGAAGAAAGCUGAGGCGCUGGAGGAUGGGGGUGUGUCCCAUCAGCUAGUUGGUAGGGUAACGGCCUACCAAGGCGAAGACGGGUAACCGGCCUGAGAGGGUGGACGGUCACACCGGGACUGAGACACGGCCCGGACUCCUACGGGAGGCAGCAGUGGGGAAUAUUGGGCAAUGGGGGAAACCCUGACCCAGCGACGCCGCGUGGUGGAAGGAGCCCUUCGGGGUGUAAACACCUGUACAGGGGGAAGAGGAAGGACGGUACCCCUGGAGCAAGGGACGGCUAACU
RNAcentral lists this ribosomal RNA (450 nucleotides) under uncultured bacterium. RNAcentral describes it as "bacterial SSU rRNA". It matches the Rfam family "Bacterial small subunit ribosomal RNA", at positions 64 to 502 of the family's 1533-position model. The record is from RNAcentral.